AUGCGACGGUCAGCCCGGCAGCGAGGCAAAGGAACGGCGGUGCCGGUGGGUAGGGAGGGAGCGAGGACGCGCGCAUCAUCAUCGCUCUCCAUGGCCGACGGCGACCCAGAGACUAGCAUGGAGGAUGAUGAAUAUACGGCUGAUGGGUCAUUCUCAACCCAUUUCUCACCCACUCGGUUGCGGCAGGUUGCAGAUAGUCAGUCCAAGAAGAAGAAGGAAGUUAUAAGCAAAUGCAGCUUUGGUUCCCUCUUGAAUAUCAACUCUUUCUCUGUGCCGGCUGAUCUGCUCGAUUGGGUAGUCAUAAAAAUUGACCCAGAAAUGGCGUUGUUUAGUCACAAAAAGAAGUCUAUAUUGUUUACAAAAGACAUGGUGCGAAAAAAAAAAUUAAUGUCCCAUCUGGGUCAAGGCCAGUGGAGUUGUUGA
This 423-nucleotide ribosomal RNA is filed under the name Triticum aestivum (bread wheat). Its description in RNAcentral is "partial small subunit ribosomal RNA". The record is from RNAcentral. Lineage: Eukaryota; Viridiplantae; Streptophyta; Magnoliopsida; Poales; Poaceae.